RNAcentral lists this ribosomal RNA (254 nucleotides) under uncultured bacterium. RNAcentral's name for it is "partial 16S ribosomal RNA". It matches the Rfam family "Bacterial small subunit ribosomal RNA", at positions 524 to 776 of the family's 1533-position model. The record is from RNAcentral.
UACAGAGGGUGCGAGCGUUGUCCGGAAUCACUGGGCGUAAAGGGCGCGUAGGCGGUCUCUUAAGCGUGUGGUGAAAGCCCGGGGCUCAACUCCGGGUCGGCCGUGCGAACUGGGGGACUGGAGCUUGUCAGAGGCAGGCGGAAUUCCGGGUGUAGCGGUGGAAUGCGUAGAGAUCCGGAAGAACACCGGUGGCGAAGGCGGCCUGCUGGGACAGUGCUGACGCUGAGGCGCGACAGCGUGGGGGAGCAAACAGG